This 916-nucleotide ribosomal RNA is filed under the name uncultured archaeon. RNAcentral's name for it is "bacterial SSU rRNA". It matches the Rfam family "Archaeal small subunit ribosomal RNA", at positions 1 to 923 of the family's 1478-position model. The record is from RNAcentral.
UUUCCGGUUGAUCCCGCCGGACCUGACUGCUAUCGGAUUGAUACUAAGCCAUGCGAGUCAUUGUAGCAAUACAAGGCAGACGGCUCAGUAACGCGUAGUCAACCUAACCUAUGGACGGGAAUAACCUCAGGAAACUGAGAAUAAUGCCCGAUAGAACACUAUAUCUGGAAUGGUUUGUGUUCCAAAGGAUUUAUCGCCGUAGGAUGGGACUGCGGCCUAUCAGUUUGUUGGUGAGGUAAUGGCCCACCAAGACUAUUACAGGUACGGGCUCUGAGAGGAGUAGCCCGGAGAUGGGUACUGAGACACGGACCCAGGCCCUAUGGGGCGCAGCAGGCGAGAAAACUUUGCAAUGUGCGAAAGCACGACAAGGUUAAUCCGAGUGGUUUCUGCUAAAGGAACCUUUUGUCGGUCCUAGAAACACCGAUGAAUAAGGGGUGGGCAAGUUCUGGUGUCAGCCGCCGCGGUAAAACCAGCACCUCAAGUGGUCAGGAUGAUUAUUGGGCCUAAAGCAUCCGUAGCCUGCUUUGUUAGUUUUCGGUUAAAUCUAUACGCUCAACGUAUAGGCUGCCGGGAAUACUGCAAAGCUAGGGAGUGGGAGAGGUAGACGGUACUCGGUAGGAAGGGGUAAAAUCCUUUGAUCUAUUGAUGACCACCUGUGGCGAAGGCGGUCUACCAGAGCACGUCCGACGGUGAGGGAUGAAAGCUGGGGGAGCAAACCGGAUUAGAUACCCGGGUAGUCCCAGCCGUAAACCAUGCAAACUCAGUGAUGCAUUGGCUUGUGGCCAAUGCAGUACUGCAGGGAAGCCGUUAAGUUUGCCGCCUGGGAAGUACGUACGCAAGUAUGAAACUUAAAGGAAUUGGCGGGGGAGCACCACAAGGGGUGAAGCCUGCGGUUCAAUUGGAGUCAACGCCGGGA